CUUAAUAGGCGGCGGGAUUGUGAAAAAUUGUGUGGGGGGUUGUUUGGCUCCAAUUAUACUGUGAAAAGAAAAUAAGGGUUUCAUGAGAUUGAGCCCCAAACUUUUGAGAAGACCCAAAGUUCAAAAUCAGUCAUCUCUAUCAAAUUCAAUCCCCUUCUUAACCAUCUUGAGCGGCCAUCCGACGCCAAUAAAUUCUCCUCCAGAGAUCCCAUCUCGGCAGCGAAGCCUUCACCAUCUAUAACAUCCAUUCGCGAAUGUGAUGCUCUCUCCAUCCAAAGCACUAGUACCUGGUGCUGAAACAAUCACUGUCCUAUGAAAAUUCCCUCACGAAUCUCACUAUUUAAUGCUUAUAUCUCAGUCUAGCAAAGAAGCCAUCUGGAAACUUCACCAACAUCUAUAGACAUAUUACUAAAGGUGCAUGGACAUGCUCAAUGCAAGACCAUUUCCUAGUCUCUUGCUGCACGGAGAAGUACUAAAGGAAAGUAUUAUUAAUUUAUUAUUUAAAUUGAAAUUCUUAUAUAUGUAUAUGUGUGUGUCUAUAAGGUUUUGAUUGACUUAAUAAUAAUAAUAAUAAUAAUAAUAAUGUUUUCAAUUUGUAUGGUGUAAUAUUAUAUUUACAAAUGCCACAUACAUUAAGAGAAAGAACAAACAACCACCAAUUUUAUGAUGCAUAUAUAAAUAUAUAAAAUAAUUAAUUAAUUAUAUCUAUAUACAGAGCAAGAAUGACAGACUCAAAGAAUUUUCCGUUGGAAAUGGGAGGUACUUAUAUAAGUUUUAAACGCUCUCCAUAUAUGAUUUAAUUUUAUAAUUACACAUAUAUGAGCAGUGCUAUGAGUAUAGUACUAGUUUCCAAUUACUUGAUUCUGUUGCUCAAGAGAGUAAUUUCAUUCUAGUUAUAAAGACACAAAUUCAAGAUUAAGAGCAAAACAAGUUAGUUUCAUUUGCUCAACCACAACAACCAUACAACAAUUUUAAGAGCCUUGAAUUCUUAAGUGUCUCACUCUAGAUACUUAAUAUAUUUAUUACCCUAUCUACAACUAAACUUGUCUGUCUGAUUCUUUUUCUUCUUUGCUUACUUCAACUCUUUUGAAUCUUUGUCAUGACCUCUCGUCUUAGCAUCUUAUGUGGCUGCAAUAUCCUCUUCUUGCUUGGCCAAGAAUAAUGUAUUAAUGGGCUAACUAUAUUUCAUUUUUGAUCUUUCUGAAAAUAAACUUAUUAAUGUGUUAAGUAUUAUUAUUAAAUGUGGCUUGAUAAGGCUAUUAGUUUCUUUUCUUCCUUAAUUACCGAUUUAUGAUGCUUGUGGUUUUUUUCAGGUACCCAUAUUUUUUUAUUUAAUUUAGAUUUUGAUGCAGGGUAAAACAUGGUCUGAAGGAACUUCUUAUUUCUGGAAGCGUUGCUACUGGUACGAUGGGGAUAUAGCCAUAUUGAUUAUGCUCAAAUUUAAGGGAUGAUCAAACUUUUCUUCUGUGGAUUGCUUAAUUAUGUCCACUAUAUCUUUUAAGAGUAAAGGAAGUCUCAAUUUAAAAGUUACAAAACUGAAGCUUGAGCUUCGAGCAACAAAGAAUGUAAGGCGUAGUUAUAUAUGAAUUGUUAUGAUUGUUCCUUAUUUAUUUUGAUGUUUGUUUGUAGUUUUGGAUAAUUUUUUGUGUAAAUAUGAGUAUGGUUUGUAUAUAUGAGUUUGAUUUUGGACAAUUAAUAAAGAUGUAUUUUAGAGUUA
Molecule: long non-coding RNA, 1717 nt
Organism: Humulus lupulus (European hop)
Lineage: Eukaryota; Viridiplantae; Streptophyta; Magnoliopsida; Rosales; Cannabaceae
Exons: 3
Source: RefSeq, a predicted model, not a curated record